Molecule: ribosomal RNA, 2321 nt
Filed under: Salmonella enterica subsp. enterica serovar Anatum
Lineage: Bacteria; Pseudomonadati; Pseudomonadota; Gammaproteobacteria; Enterobacterales; Enterobacteriaceae
Description: partial 23S ribosomal RNA
Rfam family: Bacterial large subunit ribosomal RNA
Source: RNAcentral
AGACCCGAAACCCGGUGAUCUAGCCAUGGGCAGGUUGAAGGUUGGGUAACACUAACUGGAGGACCGAACCGACUAAUGUUGAAAAAUUAGCGGAUGACCUGUGGCUGGGGGUGAAAGGCCAAUCAAACCGGGAGAUAGCUGGUUCUCCCCGAAAGCUAUUUAGGUAGCGCCUCGUGAAUUCAUCUCCGGGGGUAGAGCACUGUUUCGGCUAGGGGGCCAUCCCGGCUUACCAACCCGAUGCAAACUGCGAAUACCGGAGAAUGUUAUCACGGGAGACACACGGCGGGUGCUAACGUCCGUCGUGAAGAGGGAAACAACCCAGACCGCCAGCUAAGGUCCCAAAGUCAUGGUUAAGUGGGAAACGAUGUGGGAAGGCCCAGACAGCCAGGAUGUUGGCUUAGAAGCAGCCAUCAUUUAAAGAAAGCGUAAUAGCUCACUGGUCGAGUCGGCCUGCGCGGAAGAUGUAACGGGGCUAAACCAUGCACCGAAGCUGCGGCAGCGAACGUAUCACUUAAAGCGAUUCAGCGGGUUACGAUUGACGGAGCGAAGCGACGUCAAAGCGUAUACAAAGUCGAGUCGGUUUAAGGAUACGUUCGUUGGGUAGGGGAGCGUUCUGUAAGCCUGUGAAGGUGGCCUGUGAGGGUUGCUGGAGGUAUCAGAAGUGCGAAUGCUGACAUAAGUAACGAUAAAGCGGGUGAAAAGCCCGCUCGCCGGAAGACCAAGGGUUCCUGUCCAACGUUAAUCGGGGCAGGGUGAGUCGACCCCUAAGGCGAGGCCGAAAGGCGUAGUCGAUGGGAAACGGGUUAAUAUUCCCGUACUUGGUGUUACUGCGAAGGGGGGACGGAGAAGGCUAUGUUGGCCGGGCGACGGUUGUCCCGGUUUAAGCGUGUAGGCUGGUUUUCCAGGCAAAUCCGGAAAAUCAAGGCUGAGGCGUGAUGACGAGGCACUACGGUGCUGAAGCAACAAAUGCCCUGCUUCCAGGAAAAGCCUCUAAGCAUCAGGUAACAUCAAAUCGUACCCCAAACCGACACAGGUGGUCAGGUAGAGAAUACCAAGGCGCUUGAGAGAACUCGGGUGAAGGAACUAGGCAAAAUGGUGCCGUAACUUCGGGAGAAGGCACGCUGACACGUAGGUGAAGUGAUUUACUCAUGGAGCUGAAGUCAGUCGAAGAUACCAGCUGGCUGCAACUGUUUAUUAAAAACACAGCACUGUGCAAACACGAAAGUGGACGUAUACGGUGUGACGCCUGCCCGGUGCCGGAAGGUUAAUUGAUGGGGUCAGCGCAAGCGAAGCUCCUGAUCGAAGCCCCGGUAAACGGCGGCCGUAACUAUAACGGUCCUAAGGUAGCGAAAUUCCUUGUCGGGUAAGUUCCGACCUGCACGAAUGGCGUAAUGAUGGCCAGGCUGUCUCCACCCGAGACUCAGUGAAAUUGAACUCGCUGUGAAGAUGCAGUGUACCCGCGGCAAGACGGAAAGACCCCGUGAACCUUUACUAUAGCUUGACACUGAACAUUGAGCCUUGAUGUGUAGGAUAGGUGGGAGGCUUUGAAGUGUGGACGCCAGUCUGCAUGGAGCCGACCUUGAAAUACCACCCUUUAAUGUUUGAUGUUCUAACGUGGACCCGUGAUCCGGGUUGCGGACAGUGUCUGGUGGGUAGUUUGACUGGGGCGGUCUCCUCCUAAAGAGUAACGGAGGAGCACGAAGGUUGGCUAAUCCUGGUCGGACAUCAGGAGGUUAGUGCAAUGGCAUAAGCCAGCUUGACUGCGAGCGUGACGGCGCGAGCAGGUGCGAAAGCAGGUCAUAGUGAUCCGGUGGUUCUGAAUGGAAGGGCCAUCGCUCAACGGAUAAAAGGUACUCCGGGGAUAACAGGCUGAUACCGCCCAAGAGUUCAUAUCGACGGCGGUGUUUGGCACCUCGAUGUCGGCUCAUCACAUCCUGGGGCUGAAGUAGGUCCCAAGGGUAUGGCUGUUCGCCAUUUAAAGUGGUACGCGAGCUGGGUUUAGAACGUCGUGAGACAGUUCGGUCCCUAUCUGCCGUGGGCGCUGGAGAACUGAGGGGGGCUGCUCCUAGUACGAGAGGACCGGAGUGGACGCAUCACUGGUGUUCGGGUUGUCAUGCCAAUGGCACUGCCCGGUAGCUAAAUGCGGAAGAGAUAAGUGCUGAAAGCAUCUAAGCACGAAACUUGCCCCGAGAUGAGUUCUCCCUGAGACUUAGAGUCUCCUGAAGGAACGUUGAAGACGACGACGUUGAUAGGCCGGGUGUGUAAGCGCAGCGAUGCGUUGAGCUAACCGGUACUAAUGAACCGUGAGGCUUAACCUUACA